AGCUAGGGUAAUCUUCCACAAUAGGACGCAAGUCCUGAUGGAGCAACGCCGCGUGAGUGAAGAAGGGUUUCGGCUCGUAAAGCUCUGUUGGUAGUGAAGAAAGAUAGAGGUAGUAACUGGCCUUUAUUUGACGGUAAUUACUUAGAAAGUCACGGCUAACUACGUGCCAGCAGCCGCGGUAAUACGUAGGUGGCAAGCGUUGUCCGGAUUUAUUGGGCGUAAAGCGAGUGCAGGCGGUUCAAUAAGUCUGAUGUGAAAGCCCACGGCUCAACCGUGGAGGGUCAUUGGAAACUGGAAAACUUGAGUGCAGAAGAGGAAAGUGGAAUUCCAUGUGUAGCGGUGAAAUGCGCAGAGAUAUGGAGGAACACCAGUGGCGAAGGCGACUUUCUGGUCUGUAACUGACGCUGAUGUGCGAAAGCGUGGGGAUCAAACAGGAUUAGAUACCCUGGUAGUCCACGCCGUAAACGAUGAGUGCUAAGUGUUAGGGGGUUUCCGCCCCUUAGUGCUGCAGCUAACGCAUUAAGCACUCCGCCUGGGGAGUACGACCGCAAGGUUG
RNAcentral lists this ribosomal RNA (556 nucleotides) under uncultured bacterium. RNAcentral's name for it is "bacterial SSU rRNA". It matches the Rfam family "Bacterial small subunit ribosomal RNA", at positions 350 to 896 of the family's 1533-position model. The record is from RNAcentral.